RNAcentral lists this ribosomal RNA (514 nucleotides) under uncultured bacterium. RNAcentral describes it as "bacterial SSU rRNA". It matches the Rfam family "Bacterial small subunit ribosomal RNA", at positions 28 to 534 of the family's 1533-position model. The record is from RNAcentral.
GAUGAACGCUAGCGGGAGGCUUAACACAUGCAAGUCGAGGGGCAGCAUAGGGUAGCAAUACUCUGAUGGCGACCGGCAAACGGGUGAGUAACGCGUAUGCAACCUACCCUGUACAGGGGGAUAACCCGGAGAAAUUCGGACUAAUAUCCCGUAAUAAUAUCCGGAGGCAUCUUUGGAUAUUUAAAGUUCCGACGGUACGGGAUGGGCAUGCGUAACAUUAGCUGGUUGGUAAGGUAACGGCUUACCAAGGCUAUGAUGUUUAGGGGUCCUGAGAGGGUGGUCCCCCAACUGGUACUGAGACACGGACCAGACUCCUACGGGAGGCAGCAGUGAGGAAUAUUGGUCAAGUGGGCGCAAGCCUGAACCAGCCAUCCCGCGUGCAGGAAGACGGCCCUAUGGGUUGUAAACUGCUUUUCCAGGGAGAGAAACUUACGCACGUGUUGCGUGACUGACGGUACCCUGGGAAUAAGCAUCGGCUAACUCCGUGCCAGCAGCCGCGGUAAGACGUAGCGUG